This 263-nucleotide long non-coding RNA is filed under the name Homo sapiens (human). RNAcentral describes it as "non-protein coding lnc-CD1B-4:1". The record is from RNAcentral. Lineage: Eukaryota; Metazoa; Chordata; Mammalia; Primates; Hominidae.
GAAGGAGCCAUGAAGGAAGAGCCCAAGAGGAGAUCAGUGCCGUUGGCAGCUAAAGCUUCUCCUGCAAAAGUGGAAAUGAAGCCGGAAAAGGCAGCAAAGGACAAAUCUUCAGACAAAAAAUUGCAAACAAAAGGGGAAAGAGGAGCAAAGGGAAAACAGGCCGACGUGGGUAAUCAAGAAACUAAAGAUUUACUUCAGAAAACGGAAAAACUAAAAUCGAGGAGAGUCCAGCCUCUGAAGCUGCAGAGAAAGAAGCCAAGUCU